RNAcentral lists this ribosomal RNA (377 nucleotides) under uncultured bacterium. RNAcentral's name for it is "bacterial SSU rRNA". It matches the Rfam family "Bacterial small subunit ribosomal RNA", at positions 790 to 1167 of the family's 1533-position model. The record is from RNAcentral.
GUAGUCCACGCCGUAAACGAUGGGUACUAGGUGUUGUAGGAAUUGACCCCUACAGUGCCGACGCUAACGCAUUAAGUACCCCGCCUGGGAAGUACGGCCGCAAGGUUAAAACUCAAAGGAAUUGACGGGGGCCCGCACAAGCGGUGGAGCAUGUGGUUUAAUUCGAUGCAACGCGAAGAACCUUACCUGGGUUUGACAUCCACUGACAAUUCUAGAGAUAGAACUUCCUCUUCGGAGGCAGUGAGACAGGUGCUGCAUGGCUGUCGUCAGCUCGUAUCGUGAGAUGUCGGGUUAAGUCCCUUAACGAGCGCAACCCUUAUCCCUAGUUGCCACCAUUUAGUUGGGCACUCUAGGGAGACCGCCGGUGUUAAACCGGA